GCCUAAUACAUGCAAGUCGAGCGAACGGACGAGAAGCUUGCUUCUCUGAUGUUAGCGGCGGACGGGUGAGUAACACGUGGAUAACCUACCUAUAAGACUGGGAUAACUUCGGGAAACCGGAGCUAAUACCGGAUAAUAUUUUGAACCGCAUGGUUCAAAAGUGAAAGACGGUCUUGCUGUCACUUAUAGAUGGAUCCGCGCUGCAUUAGCUAGUUGGUAAGGUAACGGCUUACCAAGGCAACGAUGCAUAGCCGACCUGAGAGGGUGAUCGGCCACACUGGAACUGAGACACGGUCCAGACUCCUACGGGAGGCAGCAGUAGGGAAUCUUCCGCAAUGGGCGAAAGCCUGACGGAGCAACGCCGCGUGAGUGAUGAAGGUCUUCGGAUCGUAAAACUCUGUUAUUAGGGAAGAACAUAUGUGUAAGUAACUGUGCACAUCUUGACGGUACCUAAUCAGAAAGCCACGGCUAACUACGUGCCAGCAGCCGCGGUAAUACGUAGGUGGCAAGCGUUAUCCGGAAUUAUUGGGCGUAAAGCGCGCGUAGGCGGUUUUUUAAGUCUGAUGUGAAAGCCCACGGCUCAACCGUGGAGGGUCAUUGGAAACUGGAAAACUUGAGUGCAGAAGAGGAAAGUGGAAUUCCAUGUGUAGCGGUGAAAUGCGCAGAGAUAUGGAGGAACACCAGUGGCGAAGGCGACUUUCUGGUCUGUAACUGACGCUGAUGUGCGAAAGCGUGGGGAUCAAACAGGAUUAGAUACCCUGGUAGUCCACGCCGUAAACGAUGAGUGCUAAGUGUUAGGGGGUUUCCGCCCCUUAGUGCUGCAGCUAACGCAUUAAGCACUCCGCCUGGGGAGUACGACCGCAAGGUUGAAACUCAAAGGAAUUGACGGGGACCCGCACAAGCGGUGGAGCAUGUGGUUUAAUUCGAAGCAACGCGAAGAACCUUACCAAAUCUUGACAUCCUUUGACAACUCUAGAGAUAGAGCCUUCCCCUUCGGGGGACAAAGUGACAGGUGGUGCAUGGUUGUCGUCAGCUCGUGUCGUGAGAUGUUGGGUUAAGUCCCGCAACGAGCGCAACCCUUAAGCUUAGUUGCCAUCAUUAAGUUGGGCACUCUAAGUUGACUGCCGGUGACAAACCGGAGGAAGGUGGGGAUGACGUCAAAUCAUCAUGCCCCUUAUGAUUUGGGCUACACACGUGCUACAAUGGACAAUACAAAGGGCAGCGAAACCGCGAGGUCAAGCAAAUCCCAUAAAGUUGUUCUCAGUUCGGAUUGUAGUCUGCAACUCGACUACAUGAAGCUGGAAUCGCUAGUAAUCGUAGAUCAGCAUGCUACGGUGAAUACGUUCCCGGGUCUUGUACACACCGCCCGUCACACCACGAGAGUUUGUAACACCCGAAGCCGGUGGAGUAACCUUUUAGGAGCUAGCCGUCGAAGGUGGGACAAA
This 1445-nucleotide ribosomal RNA is filed under the name Staphylococcus aureus. RNAcentral's name for it is "partial 16S ribosomal RNA". It matches the Rfam family "Bacterial small subunit ribosomal RNA". The record is from RNAcentral. Lineage: Bacteria; Bacillati; Bacillota; Bacilli; Caryophanales; Staphylococcaceae.